RNAcentral lists this ribosomal RNA (489 nucleotides) under uncultured Coxiellaceae bacterium. RNAcentral describes it as "bacterial SSU rRNA". It matches the Rfam family "Bacterial small subunit ribosomal RNA", at positions 30 to 505 of the family's 1533-position model. The record is from RNAcentral. Lineage: Bacteria; Pseudomonadati; Pseudomonadota; Gammaproteobacteria; Legionellales; Coxiellaceae.
AUUGAACGCUGGCGGCAUGCCUAACACAUGCAAGUCGAACGGCAGCGCGGGGAAGCUUGCUUCCCUGGCGGCGAGUGGCGGACGGGUGAGUAACGCGUAGGAAUCUGCCCUAAAGCGGGGGACAACCCGGGGAAACUCGGGCUAAUACCGCAUAAUCUCUACGGAGCAAAGAAGGCCUCUGUUUCAAGCUUUCACUUUAGGAGGAGCCUGCGUCAGAUUAGCUUGUUGGUGGGGUAAAGGCCUACCAAGGCGACGAUCUGUAGCUGGUCUGAGAGGACGAACAGCCACACUGGGACUGAGACACGGCCCAGACUCCUACGGGAGGCAGCAGUGGGGAAUAUUGGACAAUGGGCGAAAGCCUGAUCCAGCAAUGCCGCGUGUGUGAAGAAGGCCCUUGGGUUGUAAAGCACUUUCAGUUGGGAGGAAAUGCCGUAUGUUAAUACCAUGCGGAGUUGACGUUACCUUCAAAAGAAGCACCGGCUAACUCUG